CAAACACAAUGAGUCUGCAGGCUGAAAUAGGUCAGGAGCUGCCAGUUUGCAAAUUCCAAAGAAAGGACGAGGAAGUCAGUUAGGGGCAAGCCCAGAAACCGAACGACACUGACAAGCACAGAGGCAAGGGAGAGCAGAUUCACAAAAAUAACUCAUCGCUGAGGUGAACUCCCGAUGCUGAAGUCCUGAGGCCGUCAACUGUCACUUUUUAUUGCUGUGGUGUGCUUGCUUCUCCUGGCCAUUCUCUCUGUUAAUAAAGCUACUCAUAGACUUGGACACUAGAUCUGGAAGCCUGAUG
RNAcentral lists this long non-coding RNA (298 nucleotides) under Pan troglodytes (chimpanzee). RNAcentral's name for it is "long non-coding RNA NONPTRT016791". Lineage: Eukaryota; Metazoa; Chordata; Mammalia; Primates; Hominidae. The record is from RNAcentral.